AUUGAACGCUGGCGGCAGGCCUAACACAUGCCAGUCGAGCGGAUGAAGGGAGCCUGCUCCUGGAUUCAGCGGCGUACGGGUGAGUAAUGCCUAGGAAUCUGCCUGGUAGUGGGGGAUAACGUCCGGAAACGGGCGCUAAUACCGCAUACGUCCUGAGGGAGAAAGUGGGGGAUCUUCGGACCUCACGCUAUCAGAUGAGCCUAGGUCGGAUUAGCUAGUUGGUGGGGUAAAGGCCUACCAAGGCGACGAUCCGUAACUGGUCUGAGAGGAUGAUCAGUCACACUGGAACUGAGACACGGUCCAGACUCCUACGGGAGGCAGCAGUGGGGAAUAUUGGACAAUGGGCGAAAGCCUGAUCCAGCCAUGCCGCGUGUGUGAAGAAGGUCUUCGGAUUGUAAAGCACUUUAAGUUGGGAGGAAGGGCAGUAAGUUAAUACCUUGCUGUUUUGACGUUACCAACAGAAUAAGCACCGGCUAACUUCGUG
This 484-nucleotide ribosomal RNA is filed under the name uncultured bacterium. Its description in RNAcentral is "partial 16S ribosomal RNA". It matches the Rfam family "Bacterial small subunit ribosomal RNA", at positions 30 to 507 of the family's 1533-position model. The record is from RNAcentral.